RNAcentral lists this ribosomal RNA (1851 nucleotides) under Triticum aestivum (bread wheat). RNAcentral's name for it is "partial small subunit ribosomal RNA". Lineage: Eukaryota; Viridiplantae; Streptophyta; Magnoliopsida; Poales; Poaceae. The record is from RNAcentral.
AUGGAGGAGGACAUCGACGACAAGUUCUUCUACGACUUCCCCGACAACCCCGCGCUCAUCGAGGCGCAGCAGCCCUUCCUCGAGAUCCUCUCCGAUCCCUCCUCCAACUCCACGUCCGACGACAGCAACAACCGCGCCGUCUCCCCGUGCUCCCCCUCCGACGCCUCCGUCGGCAACGCCGCCCAGCUGCCUCCCACGCCCGCCGCCGUUGACUCCUACGACCGCUUCCAGUUCGAGCCCGUCGACCUCGAUCCCGCCGCCUUCUUCGGUGGCGGCGCCAACUCCGACCUCAUGAGCUCCGCCUUCCUCAAGGGGAUGCAGGAGGCCAACAAGUUCCUGCCCAGUCAGGACAAGCUCGUCAUCGACCUCGAGGCCUCCUCUGGCCAGUUCUUCAAGGGCGUCGAGGAGGGCAACAAGUUCCUGCCCAGGGAGGACAAACUCGUCGCUGGGUUCAAUGGCCACGCAGCUCCUGCGCCGGCGCCGGCUGUGCUCAGCGUAAAGAAGGAGGAGGCGGUGGAUGCGGUCUCGGCCAACUCUGGUGGCGGCCGAGGUCGGAAGAACCCUUACCAUGAUGACGAGCUGGAGCAGGAGGGUGGCAGGAGCAGCAAGCAGAGUGCGCUGGGAGAUGACGUCUCUGCACGGGAGAUGUUCGACAGGAUGCUGAUGCCCUCAGACGAGAUGUGCAUCGUGCAGAUGCAGAACCUGCGGAUCGCCAUGCAGGAGGCGGUGGCCAAGAAUGAUAGCGGCGGCGGGAAAGGGGCCAAUGGCAAGGGGAGGGGCCGGCGUGGUGGUUCCGAUGUGGUGGACCUGCGCACGUUGCUCAUCCAUUGCGCGCAGGCUGUUGCCACAGAUGACCGCCGGAGCGCUACAGAGCUGCUGAAGCAGAUCAAGCUGCAUGCUCGCCCUGAUGGCGACGGGACUCAGCGCCUCGCGCAUUGCUUUGCGGAGGGCCUGCAGGCGCGGAUGGCGGGCACAGGUGGCCUCGUACACCAGUCGCUCAUGGCAACACGCAUCUCAGCUGUGGACAUGCUCAAAGCUUACCAGCUGUACAUGGCAGCCAUCUGUUUCAAGAAGUGGCCGUGCUUUCUGCGACGGAUAUCAACAAGGCCUGGAGGGCCGCCAGAUGUAAGGAUCACUGGUAUUGAUCUCCCUCAGCCUGGGUUCCGGCCAACAGAGCGGAUUGAAGAGACAGGGCGCAGGCUCAAGAAGUAUGCCCAUGAGUUUAAUGUGCCGUUCGAGUACCGGGCCAUCGCGACGGCAAAGAUGGAGUCGCUCCGCAAAGAGGAUUUGAAGAUUGAUCCUGAUGAGGUACUCAUUGUUAACUCCUUGUUUCAAUUCAAGAACUUGAUGGACGAGAGCGUUGUGCUUGAGAGCCCAAGGGAUGUUGUGCUCAAGAACAUCAGGAAGAUGCAGCCCCACACAUUCAUCCAUGCAAUCGUGAAUGGCUCAUUCAGUGCCCCAUUCUUUGUGACACGGUUUCGGGAGGUUCUGUUCUACUACUCGGCCCUUUUUGAUGUUCUGGACACAACCACCCCAAGGGAUAACGAACAGAGGAUGCUGAUUGAGCAGAACAUCCUUGGGCGUGCUGCCCUGAAUGUCAUUGCCUGUGAGGGUACAGAUAGGGUGGAGCGUCCUGAGACGUAUAAGCAAUGGCAGGUAAGGAAUCAACGGGCAGGUUUGAAGCUGCUGCCAUUGAAUCCAGAGGUCAUUGAGCUAGCGAGAGACAAGGUCAAGAACUGCUACCACAAGGACUUUGUGAUUGAUAUAGAUCAGCACUGGCUCUUGCAAGGAUGGAAAGGACGCAUCCUCUAUGCCAUCUCGACAUGGACGGCAAACGAUGCUAGCUCAUAA